GAAUAGCAAAGAAAAUAGAAAGGAAAUAUCAAAGAAAAUAGAAAGGAAUUACAAAGAAAAUAGAAAAGAAUAGCAAAGGAAAUGGAAAUGAAAUAGCAAAGAAAAUAGAAAGGAAUAGCAAAGAAAAUAGAAAGGAAAUAGCAAAGAAAAUAUCAAAGAAAAUGUAAAGGAGAUAUCAAAGAAAGUAUAAAGAAAUAGAAAAUAUAAGAGAAAAUAUGAAAAAAAUAUAAAAGGAAAUAGAAAAUAUAAAAGAGAAGAGAAAGAAAAUAGGAAAUAGAAAAUACAAAGAAAUAUCAAAGCCAAUAGCAAGCAAAUCCAAAGCAGGUUUUGUCUCUCUCUGGCAGUUCCUGCUGCUGAAACAGAAGCUGGGAAUUCCUCCUGAUGCCUGCAGCAGCAUUCCCGAGUUCCUGCACUGCUGGGGAGAGGCCCUGGAGCUGCAGCAGCUGCAACAGCUGCAGCAGCAGCAGCCCUGAGGCACCAGGGGCAGCUGCAGCUCCCUGGGAUGCAGAAAAAUGGGAGCAAAUCCUUCUGUGGGGGUUUGCUGCCAGCAGGAUGGAGCAGCAGCAGCCCUGAGGAGUGUCCUGGAGGGAGCUGGGCUGGGAGAUCCAGGUGGGAAUUGCAGGGUUGGCAUUCCCAGCCCUGGAGCUGUUUGAGGAUUCUGGGGCUGUUUGGGGAUUCAGGAACGAGCUCUUCCCACACAGCUCUGGGAAUCCCUGCUUGGGGUGGCUCUGCAACACCCAGGGUGGCCAAGGGUUGGAUUUUUGGGAGCAGUUCCCCGUCUCUGCUGUGCAGCUGGGGAGGGAGGGCCCAUCCCCCUGAUCCUUGGGAUGAUUCCUGCUCAUUCCUGCUUUUCCUCUGCCUCUGGAAUUGUCUCCCAGGGCAGAGGCAGGAAAGGAGCUGGUGCUGUGUCAAUUCCUUCAGCUCAGGGACAUUCCAGGUCCCUCCCAAAGGGACUUCCCACGUGGUGCUGUGCCUCCCUGCCCUGAGCCCUCUGUGCACACUGCAGAUCUGGAUCCUUCUGCUCUGGAAUUGUUUUUAUUUUUUUGGGAAUUAAAAAAAAAAAAAAACCAACCAAACAACUUUUCCUGAUGCUGAGCCUGUUCCUGCCUGGCUCCCUGAUUUCUCUGAGGGUGUUGGACGUGGCCACAACUUCUGCUGCUGCCUUUGCAUCCAUGGAAACUGGGCUGGGCUCAGCAGGGAGGGGUUGGGGUGCCCAGGAGGGUUUGGGAUCCUCAGGAGGGUGCCCAGGAGGGUUUGGGGUGCCCAGGAGGGUUUGGGGUAGGUGGUUUUGUGGUGCUCAGGAGGGUUUUGGGUGCUCAGAAGGGUUUGGGGUACCCAGGAGGGGUUGGGGUGCUCGGAAGGGUUUGGGGUGCUCCGGAGGCUGCCCAGGAGGGUUUGGGGUGGCUGGAAGCGUUUGGGCUCAGUGAGGGGCUGGUUGAAGGCUCUUGGGGUGGUCAGAAAGGUUUGGGGUGCCCAGGAGGAUGCACAGGAGGGUUUGGGGUGCCCAAGGAAUGCAUAGGAGAGUUUGGGGUGCCCAGGAGGGUUUGGGGUAGGUGGUUUUGUGGUGCUCAGGAGGGUUUUGGGUGCUCAGAAGGGUUUGGGGUGCUCCGGAGGCUGCCCAGGAGGGUUUGGGGUGGCUGGAAGCGUUUGGGCUCAGUGAGGGGCUGGUUGAAGGCUCUUGGGGUGGUCAGAAGGGUUUGGGCUAAUCCAAAAUCCAUCAGUGCCAGGAGGUGACACAGGAUAAUUUAUUAACCAUUUCUUACCCGUGCUGAAGAAAACAAUUGAAUCCCUGUGGUCUUCAAAGAGCCCCCCAGAAAAACCCUUAAGGCACAAAAUUGGCUGUUCCUGCAGCGGGGCACUCAGGGGGUGCAAUCCCAAAAAGGUUUGGCCAUGCCAAAACUCCUUCCUGGGUGAGGCUGAGCCAGGAGCCCUGGAGCAGCUCCUGGUGCCCUGGAGCAUCUCCUGGAGCAUCUCCUGGAUCAGCUCCGGGUGCCCUGGAUCAGCUCCGGGUGCCCUGGAUCAGCUCUGGGUGCCCUGGAGCAGAUCCUGGACCAGCUUCUGCUGCUCUGGAUCAGCUCCUGGACCAGCUCCUGGUGCCCUGGAUCAGCUCCUGGACCAGCUCCUGGUGCCUUGGAGCAGCUCCUGGACCAGCUACUGGUGCCCUGGAUCAGCUCUGGGUGCCCUGGAUCAGCUCCUGGAUCAUCUCCUGGUGCCCUGGAUCAGCUCCUGGUGCCCUGGAUCAUCUCCUGGAUCAGCUCUGGAUCAGCUCCUGGUGUCCUGGAUCAGCUCCUGGACCAGCCCCUGCUGCUCCCUCAGCCCCAGCCAGGCACAGGGACACUCCCAGCACGGUGAGCAGCAUUCCUGCCACAGCUCCUGUGGGGGAGAAGAAACAAAUCCGUGACAAAUAAAUGGGAAUAAACUGGGAAUCUGCCUCCA
Molecule: long non-coding RNA, 2436 nt
Filed under: Lonchura striata (white-rumped munia)
Lineage: Eukaryota; Metazoa; Chordata; Aves; Passeriformes; Estrildidae
Description: domestica (Bengalese finch) lncRNA (ENSLSDG00000004753.1)
Source: RNAcentral